Molecule: ribosomal RNA, 253 nt
Filed under: uncultured bacterium
Lineage: Bacteria
Description: partial 16S ribosomal RNA
Rfam family: Bacterial small subunit ribosomal RNA
Source: RNAcentral
UACGAAGGGGGCUAGCGUUGCUCGGAAUUACUGGGCGUAAAGCGCGUGUAGGCGGCUUUGCAAGUCGGGUGUGAAAGCCCUCAGCUCAACUGAGGAAGUGCGCCCGAAACUGCAGAGCUUGAGUACCGGAGAGGGUGGCGGAAUUCCCCAAGUAGAGGUGAAAUUCGUAGAUAUGGGGAGGAACACCGGUGGCGAAGGCGGCCACCUGGACGGUCACUGACGCUGAGACGCGAAAGCGUGGGGAGCAAACAGG